CAACAUUGGUGGUGGCACUUCCCAAACGAGCGGGUGGUGUAGUUGUGCGUGUAACGUAAAUAGCUUCACUUUGAGAAACCCGCUCCUUUGAGCGGGUUUUUUAUU
Regulatory RNA element from Idiomarina loihiensis L2TR, 105 nucleotides. It matches the Rfam family "Tryptophan operon leader". Rfam says of the family: At least 6 amino acid operons are known to be regulated by attenuation. The record is from Rfam. Lineage: Bacteria; Pseudomonadati; Pseudomonadota; Gammaproteobacteria; Alteromonadales; Idiomarinaceae.